UACGUAGGGUGCAAGCGUUGUCCGGAAUUACUGGGCGUAAAGAGUUCGUAGGCGGUUUGUCACGUCGUUUGUGAAACUCAACAGCUCAACUGUUGAGCCUGCAGGCGAUACGGGCAGACUUGAGUACUGCAGGGGAGACUGGAAUUCCCGGUGUAGCGGUGAAAUGCGUAGAGAUCGGGAGGAACACCAGUGGCGAAGGCGGCUACCUGGACCAGCACUGACACUGAGGCACGAAAGCGUGGGGAGCAAACAGG
This 254-nucleotide ribosomal RNA is filed under the name uncultured bacterium. RNAcentral's name for it is "partial 16S ribosomal RNA". It matches the Rfam family "Bacterial small subunit ribosomal RNA", at positions 524 to 776 of the family's 1533-position model. The record is from RNAcentral.